RNAcentral lists this ribosomal RNA (495 nucleotides) under uncultured bacterium. Its description in RNAcentral is "partial 16S ribosomal RNA". It matches the Rfam family "Bacterial small subunit ribosomal RNA", at positions 30 to 507 of the family's 1533-position model. The record is from RNAcentral.
UGAACGCUGGCGGCGUGCCUACUACAUGCACGUCGAGCGAACAGAUGCGGAGCUUGCUCCUCUGACGUUAGCGGCGGACGGGUGAGUAACACGUGGAUAACCUACCUAUAAGACUGGGAUAACUUCGGGAAACCGGAGCUAAUACCGGAUAAUAUAUUGAACCGCAUGGUUCAAUAGUGAAAGACGGUUUUGCUGUCACUUAUAGAUUGAUCCGCGCCGCAUUAGCUAGUUGGUAAGGUAACGGCUUACCAAGGCAACGAUGCGUAGCCGACCUGAGAGGGUGAUCGGCCACACUGGAACUGAGACACGGUCCAGACUCCUACGGGAGGCAGCAGUAGGGAAUCUUCCGCAAUGGGCGAAAGCCUGACGGAGCAACGCCGCGUGAGUGAUGAAGGUCUUCGGAUCGUAAAACUCUGUUAUUAGGGAAGAACAAAUGUGUAAGUAACUAUGCACGUCUUGACGGUACCUAAUCAGAAAGCCACGGCUAACUACGUG